RNAcentral lists this ribosomal RNA (803 nucleotides) under uncultured bacterium. RNAcentral describes it as "bacterial SSU rRNA". It matches the Rfam family "Bacterial small subunit ribosomal RNA", at positions 8 to 916 of the family's 1533-position model. The record is from RNAcentral.
AGAGUUUGAUCCUGGCUCAGAACGAACGCUGGCGGCAGCUAACACAUGCAAGUCGAGUGGCGCACGGGUGAGUAACGCGUGGGAAUAUGCCCUUCGGUUCGGAAUAACCAGGGAAACUGCUAAUACCGGAUACGAUUACGAGAAAGAUCGCCGAAGGAGUAGCCCGCGUAGGAUUAGCUAGUUGGUGGGUAAUGGCUACCAAGGCGACGAUCCUUAGCUGGUCUGAAGGAUGAUCAGCCACACUGGGACUGAGACACGGCCCAGACUCUACGGGAGGCAGCAGUGGGGAAUAUUGGACAAUGGGGGAAACCCUGAUCCAGCCAUGCCGCGUGAGUGAUGAAGCUUAGGGUUGUAAAGCUCUUUCGUCGGGGAAGAUAAUGACGGUACCCGAAGAAGAAGCCUCGGCUAACUCCGUGCCGCAGCCGCGGUAAGACGGAGGAGGCUAGCGUUGUUCGGAAUUACUGGGCGUAAAGCGUGCGCAGGUUGUGGUUAAGUCUGAUGUGAAAGCCCGGGCUCAACCUGGAUGUGCAUUAGAUACUGGCUGCUGGAGGUUGGAAGAGGAGAGUGGAAUCCCAGUGUAGAGGUGAAAUUCGUAGAUAUUGGGAGAACACCAGUGGCGAAGGCGGCUCUCUGGUCCACACCUGACACUCAUGCACGAAAGCGUGGGGAGCAAACAGGAUUAGAUACCCUGGUAGUCCACGCCGUAAACGAUGUGUGCUAGACGUCGGUCUCGGUGUCCAGCUAACGCGAUAAGCACCCGCCUGGGGAGUACGGCCGCAAGUUAAACUCAAAGGAAUUGACGG